GAUGAACGCUGGCGGCGUGCCUAAUACAUGCAAGUCGAGCGAACAGAUGAGGAGCUUGCUCCUCUGACGUUAGCGGCGGACGGGUGAGUAACACGUGGAUAACCUACCUAUAAGACUGGGAUAACUUCGGGAAACCGGAGCUAAUACCGGAUAAUAUAUUGAACCGCAUGGUUCAAUAGUGAAAGACGGUUUUGCUGUCACUAAUAGAUGGAUCCGCGCCGCAUUAGCUAAUUGGUAAGGUAACGGCUUACCAAGGCAACGAUGCGUAGCCGACCUGGGAGGGUGAUCGGCCACACUGGAACUGAGACACGGUCCAGACUCCUACGGGAGGCAGCAGUAGGGAAUCUUCCGCAAUGGGCGAAAGCCUGACGGAGCAACGCCGCGUGAGUGAUGAAGGUCUUCGGAUCGUAAAACUCUGUUAUUAGGGAAGAACAAAUGUGUAAGUAACUAUGCACGUCUUGACGGUACCUAAUCAGAAAGCCACGGCUAACUACGUG
Molecule: ribosomal RNA, 497 nt
Filed under: uncultured bacterium
Lineage: Bacteria
Description: partial 16S ribosomal RNA
Rfam family: Bacterial small subunit ribosomal RNA
Source: RNAcentral